This is a small RNA of Neisseria mucosa ATCC 25996, 88 nucleotides long. It matches the Rfam family "Neisseria metabolic switch regulator b (RcoF1/NgncR163)". Rfam says of the family: Sibling sRNA described and independently named in three publications. NgncR163 is N. gonorrhoeae while the others are N. meningitidis RNAs. Lineage: Bacteria; Pseudomonadati; Pseudomonadota; Betaproteobacteria; Neisseriales; Neisseriaceae. The record is from Rfam.
CCGUUGAGUUGCUUGAUGCAGCUUGAUUUUUCUCCUCUAUUUCUCCUUUGUAGACUUGGCGCAUAUCCCAAACGAUAUGCGCAUUUUU